Molecule: ribosomal RNA, 105 nt
Filed under: Aphrodes hamiltoni
Lineage: Eukaryota; Metazoa; Arthropoda; Insecta; Hemiptera; Cicadellidae
Description: partial 12S ribosomal RNA
Source: RNAcentral
UGAAUAUUAAUAGUUAUUUUCUUGAAACUCUAAGAAUUUGGCGGUAAUAUAUUUUUUUAGAGGAACCUGUUUUUUAAUCGAUGAACCACGAUACUUUCUACCUUU